GCCCCCGUAGCUCAGUGGACAGAGCAGGAGCCUUCUAAGCUCUUGGGCGGGGGUUCGAAUCCCUCCGGGGGCG
This 73-nucleotide transfer RNA is filed under the name Acidimicrobiia bacterium. RNAcentral's name for it is "tRNA-Arg". It matches the Rfam family "tRNA". Rfam says of the family: Transfer RNA (tRNA) molecules are approximately 80 nucleotides in length. Their secondary structure includes four short double-helical elements and three loops (D, anti-codon, and T loops). Further hydrogen bonds mediate the characteristic L-shaped molecular structure. tRNAs have two regions of fundamental functional importance: the anti-codon, which is responsible for specific mRNA codon recognition, and the 3' end, to which the tRNAs corresponding amino acid is attached (by aminoacyl-tRNA synthetases). tRNAs cope with the degeneracy of the genetic code in two manners: having more than one tRNA (with a specific anti-codon) for a particular amino acid; and 'wobble' base-pairing, i.e. permitting non-standard base-pairing at the 3rd anti-codon position. Lineage: Bacteria; Bacillati; Actinomycetota; Acidimicrobiia. The record is from RNAcentral.